AUUCUAAUUACCUUCUUAACUGAUAUGGAAUCAGUACUUACUUUUUCACACAAGGCUACUGAAAGUUGGCUGAUUUUUUUUUGUUUAAUAAAUAUCGACAAAGUAAAAUUUGUAUGUGUUUCUUGUCACAUGAGAUUAGUUUCAUCUACUGUUAGGACUUGGUGAGGACUAGAUGAAGGUCAGAUAUGUCUUAAUAAGUAAAACCAUUGAAUCGUAAGGGGGUGUACUUUUUUUUCACAUCACUGUAUGCCUUAUCCAUCUCGACCUUAAUUCCAGGGUGAUCAGAUUUGCCAUUUUCUAUAUACAGUAAUAUGAUUUAAUACUCUUUUGGCUCUUAUCUCCUGCCCAGCGAGUGAGAUGCUGUGUGGGUCAGUCUGACAGCGCACGCCUGGAAAAUUGGUAUUGAUGCCUGACACUGGAGCAGCAGAAUUCUCUGAAGCGCGACUGCUGCUCGUUUCCCAGCCUCCUGACUCAUCGAUCUCCGAUCGGCUCAGUAUAAACCUUCCAGGAAUCUGGAGAGAAGGAGUCCCAGUGCCAACUGAAUCAAAUGUCAUGUUAUUAAAUAUUACACUUUGGAGAGA
Lepisosteus oculatus (spotted gar) is the source of this 581-nucleotide long non-coding RNA. RefSeq lists it as uncharacterized. The record is from RefSeq and is a predicted model, not a curated record. NCBI's taxonomy places the organism in Eukaryota, Metazoa, Chordata, Actinopteri, Semionotiformes, Lepisosteidae.